ACGUGAUCUGAGUUCAGACCGGAGUAAUCCAGGUCAGUUUCUAUCUAUAAUAGGGCUUUUUCUAGUACGAAAGGACCGAAAAAGCAUGGCCAAUAGACAACUAAGCCAUUCAACCAACUUAUGUAUUUUACUUAAUUAGUACUAGCCUACUAUCUGCUUUAAUA
RNAcentral lists this ribosomal RNA (164 nucleotides) under Aplastodiscus arildae (Teresopolis treefrog). Its description in RNAcentral is "partial 16S ribosomal RNA". The record is from RNAcentral. Lineage: Eukaryota; Metazoa; Chordata; Amphibia; Anura; Hylidae.